Long non-coding RNA from Paramisgurnus dabryanus, 2057 nucleotides. RefSeq lists it as uncharacterized. The record is from RefSeq and is a predicted model, not a curated record. Lineage: Eukaryota; Metazoa; Chordata; Actinopteri; Cypriniformes; Cobitidae.
GGUAAACAUGGAUUGUGGUGGGCUAGUGACAGAAUGAAGAAGAUCAGUUUAAAAUGUGCUUUACAACCAGAGGUUGCAUUAUUUUGACAGACAAGGGCUGUAAGAAAAUUGUCAAAAUCAAUAAUAAUAUGAGCCAACAGCCAAACAAUAACAACUAAACUCAAUCAACUAUCUUAAUCUGCCUGAACUCAAAUCUUGUGGUCUAUAAAGUGGGAGUUUAUCUGUGUGUAAUUCAACCAUCAUGUUAGACUGAAGGAAUUGCAGUUAUCAUUAGAUUUCCCGACAGCACUGGACAAAUGACUUCUCACACUCAGUGUGACUUGAGACAAAGGAUAAACAAAGACAUUGAGUAUGUUUACAUGCACAUAAUAAGAGGACAAUUAUCCUAUUAUGAUAUUAUAAAAAUCAGCUUAUUACAUUAACAUGUUUCAAGCGUUUUAAUUUACUUUUAUUUGUGAAGUUUAUCUAUCUCAGGUGGAGACAUACGCACAUACGAAACGGCAAAAAAGACUUUAAAAUCUGGUUUAAGAGCAAAAAAACUACCUGUGCCAAUCAGUUUUUGCCAUUUAUGGGCUUUACCCUAUAAAAGAAAACCAUUUUAUGCAUUUAAAUGACCUUACACGUUAUCAGUUUAUUAAGCGUUUAGACUAUGUAGACACACUCACUGUGCACUAAAAUUAAAAAAAUUGGUUAACACGACCACUCGUGGUGGCUUCACUCAGAGGUUGGAGAAGACAACCGGUGGACUAAACAUCAAGCCUCUGCACGAUUCAGGUAAGUGGAAUAAAAUACAUUGUAAAUAAACAUUAUUAAAACAGAUUGUGAAGUCAUUCAUUCAAAACUUGCUAUGACCUAAGCCUAAAUGACUUAAUUUCUUUUUAGAAUUAAGACAACCUUAGCAGGAGAGCCCCAGCAGUAACUUUCUCUCAAGCAGAUGAGCAAUAAGUUGCUUUGUAUGAACACCACCCUAACAAUCAAGUAACCUGUUAACAGUAGACCAAAGGUAUGAUGAUCAAUUAUAAAUGCAAUAUGGUUGAAAGGUCAGUAAACAAACAACAAAAAGGUAAUUUCUUAAUAGAAUGUCUAUACAUUUUUUGCUUUUGUUACAUAUUUCAUACAUCAAAAUCAUUAAACGUUAAUAAUUAUGUAUUCCAACUUGUUGCAGCUUGACAAAAAUGUAGCUUGAAGGAGAAGGGACAGCUGAGUAACAAAGUCCUGGUAUGCAGACGACGAUACUAUUACACUGACAAGAGUGUAAUGAUGAUGGAGACACAAGCCAGAGAAAGGGGGGACCAAACACCAGGCCAGAAUUCUGCAUGAGUCAGAUCCAGUGGGUGCAGAUCAUCAUACAGAUGGUUCAAGUGUGGAUCCACCUAAUAUUCAAGAUUUUCUGUCCUGGGACACUCGGCUAACCAUCAAGAAAGAACACACUCCAGUGGGCAUCCUUUAUCCAUCCAGACCCUCAUACAGAUGUUGGAGUUUUGAUUCACCUAAAGUACCAUGCAAGAGCACUCAUUUUCCCUCUUGAGACCAUGGUGUGACCUGCAAGGUCGAAUGGAGACUGUAAGCGAGACAAUCUUGGAGUCACCUGCAUUGACUGGUCCAGUUGUUAGUCCAAUUACAGAUGGAGAUUAUAGAAGAGGAUGAUGUCUUUUCUCCAACAUCUUUCUAGACUGAUAAAAGAUCUAGACAGGCUUGAACAAAAGUUAACAGAGGGGCUUAUAUAGAGAAUGGUGAGCAGCUACACAUAAAAGAAGAACAUGGAGAAUCUGCCCAGAGGUGUUAACCAGCAAUGCAGCUAUACAACUAAAGUGAUGCAGGCGGAAACAAUGUGUAAUGCAGCUGCUGCAGAUGAAGAAUCCGUCCGUCUACCACUGAAGGAGACGCGGAAAAUCGGGAAAAGAUGUUCUUUGCCCGAGGAAGCAUUUGAUUAAUUUAAAGAUAUUGUGUUUCUUUGUAUUUUAUAGAAAAACGUUGCUUUUUUGCAUACACUCGUGUAAAUAUGCAUCUUAUGAAUGUUUUCCUUUGUCUAAUUUUAAUAAAUUUUACGCAAUCAA